This is an RNA transcript of Amborella trichopoda, 770 nucleotides long. It is a transcript of the gene named RPM1 interacting protein 4, with no coding region annotated. The record is from RefSeq and is a predicted model, not a curated record. NCBI's taxonomy places the organism in Eukaryota, Viridiplantae, Streptophyta, Magnoliopsida, Amborellales, Amborellaceae.
UGGUUCUUGUGUGUUGAAGUGCGGAAUUUCUAACCUUUGGAAAUAUCCGCCAUUCAAUCAAUUUCGUCUUCAAUAAGUAACGAUUAUUGAUUAAAUUUGAUGCUUUUGAAUCAUAAUCGAAUUGGUUACCAUAUCCCUGCUUCAAUUUGUUCAACAAACAAGAUAUAGGGGGUGGAUUUUGGCUGGAAACUUUGCUCAAAGAACCUGUGUUGAAGCUACUCGAAGAACCCUAAUUCGAUCCGCCAUUUCGUUAAUUUCAUCUUGAAUAGAGGCAUUCACAAUUUCAAACUUUUUUGUUAUCGACUUGGCCAAGUUUUGAAGCACGGUGCCUACGACCCACUUGGAUGCGGGCUCCAGGAUUAAUUAAAUGGAUGAAGAUAGUUGACUGUAAUAGCAUUGGAGAGCCAGCUUGAGCAAUGGAUCCAGCUCUCUGCAAUCAAUGACCGAUACAAAUGAGAGAAUAAUGGUGCACGUGUAAGCGUGGGGGCGAAAGAAAGCUUGACGACACUGCCGUUGAUGAAAUUGAAGGCUUGUAACAUCUCUUUUAAGGAGGUGCAAGUAACUUGUAGUUGUUGGUGGUGCAUGUAAUCGCCACUACAAUUAAUGUUUAACCUCAUAGUGGCUCUUGGUGUUUAGUGUCAAGUGCAUAAAACUUAAGAACAUAAAAAAGACCUUUCUAUUUUCAUGUAUCCCGAGGUUGAAUUGUCCUUUUUAUGCACAUCAAAUUCAGUAUAAAAAAGGAUGGGACAAAUAUUGUCUUGAGAGUGUAC